RNAcentral lists this long non-coding RNA (234 nucleotides) under Lathyrus oleraceus (garden pea). RNAcentral's name for it is "Pisum sativum (pea) long non-coding RNA (PSAT_LNC016179)". The record is from RNAcentral. Lineage: Eukaryota; Viridiplantae; Streptophyta; Magnoliopsida; Fabales; Fabaceae.
GUUAUUCAUAUUUAUUUUUAUCGGGAUAUGAUUUUUUAGCACUAGUAUGAUAUGAUAUAAAUAUCACAAACAAUCUAACAAAUUAAUUAGAAUUGUUGUAGUUUAGUGACUUUAGCUUGAGAAAAACUUUUAUUUAUUUAUUUAUCUUCUAUUUGAUUUAUUUUUUAUUUUCUUACUUUAAUUAGGGUUAGGGAAUUUAUUUGUGAAGUUGGGUCUUGUUGUUUUGGACUUUUU